Molecule: long non-coding RNA, 247 nt
Filed under: Felis catus (domestic cat)
Lineage: Eukaryota; Metazoa; Chordata; Mammalia; Carnivora; Felidae
Description: lncRNA (ENSFCAG00000048226.1)
Source: RNAcentral
AGAAGAGGACCAUCAUGGUGUUCCUUAGAGAUUAACUAGAAAAGGGUCAUCUCCAACUUUUGGUUGAAGUCCAUCCUGCUUCUACUUCUGAAAGGCAGCAAGUUUUCCUGGAAAGAACAUCAAGGGUCCCUGAAUAGCCCUCAGGGACUCUGGAGCCUCUGAGGUUUGCCACUAGCCACAGGUAAGUCAUACUGUGACAAGAAGCUCUGUGAACCCCCUCAAAUAUAUGAAUGUAAUGGGGGAAUUC